UAUUGUGUAUUUUUCACCAAAAUAAUGAUUUAAAAUCCAGUAAUAUAGAUGGUAAGUGCAGAAGGAGCAUAUGUAGAUUCAGGAACGUUAAACAUUGUAACUUUUUUUAAAAAGAGGAUAUUUACCAGGCCUCUUUCUGUGAGGAGACCCUGUCCUGGAGUGAUGCCGUGCAUUUGUGUGCUGCCUGGGUGAACACUGCCUACUUCACAGUGAUGAGGGUGGCUUAGACAGAGACCCGAGGCUCUGUCCUCCAGGGCUCUCCUGAUGGUCUCCUUUACCUUCCUUCACCACCAAGGAGGGUGGCCCAGCAGCAGCUCAGCCUGUGCUCUCACCCACCUCCUCUGCACACACCAGUCCUCGUCCUCAGCACCCAAGGCUGCCAGAGGUCCUUCAGCAGCUCCCGUGGCUGACAGUGACUCUACGUUUCCUAGAUUUCAGGGACCACCUGGAGGGGAGCGGACCAGAGAGACUUCCUCGGAAUAGGCUGUGGCUCUUCACAAGGUGUCUUCUAUGCUUUAUUUGGGAGCCAUUGCCUUGAGCGUUAUUUCCCAGAUGGUUUUCUAAUGUCACCAACUGAAGAAAAGACCCAUGCACACAGGACACAGCAUGAUCUGAUGCUCACAGCGUUUUCCUUCCUCUCUGAAAACGGACUCAGCGAUUCUGGCAAGCGGUACUUACUCUGAGAUCACCCGUUUGCUAAGGAAAAAUCUUAGUACUGAGAAAGGUGACACUUUCCUCCCUGCUUUUGCUGGAGAGACACUUUGGUUAUGAGUUAUUUCUAGCAUAACACAGUUUAUUUCAGAAGUCCAGCUCAAUAGCAGACCAAGGCAUGAACAACACAUGAAAAUUUAUGUUGGGAAAAUAUAUAUUGUAUGUCUGCUUGAA
This is a long non-coding RNA of Homo sapiens (human), 885 nucleotides long. Ensembl annotates it as long intergenic non-protein coding RNA 1120. Lineage: Eukaryota; Metazoa; Chordata; Mammalia; Primates; Hominidae. The record is from Ensembl.